RNAcentral lists this ribosomal RNA (253 nucleotides) under uncultured bacterium. RNAcentral's name for it is "partial 16S ribosomal RNA". It matches the Rfam family "Bacterial small subunit ribosomal RNA", at positions 524 to 776 of the family's 1533-position model. The record is from RNAcentral.
UACGUAGGGUGCAAGCGUUAAUCGGAAUUACUGGGCGUAAAGCGUGCGCAGGCGGUUUUGUAAGUCUGAUGUGAAAUCCCCGGGCUCAACCUGGGAAUUGCAUUGGAGACUGCAAGGCUAGAAUCUGGCAGAGGGGCGUAGAAUUCCACGUGUAGCAGUGAAAUGCGUAGAGAUGUGGAGGAACACCGAUGGCGAAGGCAGCCCCCUGGGUCAAGAUUGACGCUCAUGCACGAAAGCGUGGGGAGCAAACAGG